AAAGAUUAAGCCAUGCAUGUCUAAGUAUAAACAACUUUGUACUGUGAAACUGCGAAUGGCUCAUUAAAUCAGUUAUAGUUUAUUUGAUUAUACCUUACUACUUGGAUAACCGUGGUAAUUCUAGAGCUAAUACAUGCUAAAAAUCCCGACUUCUGGAAGGGAUGUAUUUAUUAGAUAAGAAACCAAUGCGGGCAACCGCUUUUCUGGUGUUUCAUAAUAACUUUUCGAAUCGCAUGGCCUUGUGCUAGCGAUGUUUCAUUCAAAUUUCUGCCCUAUCAACUUUCGAUGGUAUGAUAGAGGCCUACCAUGGUUU
This 313-nucleotide ribosomal RNA is filed under the name uncultured fungus. RNAcentral's name for it is "SSU rRNA". It matches the Rfam family "Eukaryotic small subunit ribosomal RNA", at positions 39 to 352 of the family's 1831-position model. The record is from RNAcentral. Lineage: Eukaryota; Fungi.